CACUGGCAGAUGUGGACCACGCGGCGGCAUUAGACUAGUUGGUGAGGUAACGCCUCACCAAGGCGACGAUGCGUAGCCGAACCUGAGAGGGCGUAUUCGGACACACUGGAACUGAGACACGGCCCAGACUCCUACCGGAGGCAGCAGUUAGGGAAUCCUCCGCAAUGGACGAAAGUCUGACCGAAGCAACGCCGCGUGAGUGAUGAAGGUUUUCGGAUCCUAAAACUCUGUUGUAAGGGAAGAACAAGUACCGGUUCGAAUAGGGCGGUACCUUGACGGUACCUAACCAGAAAGCCACGGCUAACUACGUGCCAGCAGCCGCGGUAAUACGUAGGUGGCAAGCGUUGUCCGCGAAUUAUUGGGCGUAAAGCGCGCGCAGGCGGUUUCUUAAGUCUGAUGUGAAAGCCCCCGGCUCAACCGGGGAGGGUCAUUGGAAACUGGGGAACUUGAGUGCAGAAGAGGAGAGUGGAAUUCCACGUGUAGCGGUGAAAUGCGUAGAGAUGUGGAGGAACACCAGUGGCGAAGGCGACUCUCUGGUCUGUAACUGACGCUGAGGCGCGAAAGCGUGGGGAGCGAACAGGAUUAGAUACCCUGGUAGUCCACGCCGUAAACGAUGAGUGCUAAAGUGUUAGAGAGUUUCCGCCCUUUAGUGCUGCAGC
RNAcentral lists this ribosomal RNA (659 nucleotides) under Bacillus licheniformis. RNAcentral's name for it is "bacterial SSU rRNA". It matches the Rfam family "Bacterial small subunit ribosomal RNA", at positions 213 to 852 of the family's 1533-position model. The record is from RNAcentral. Lineage: Bacteria; Bacillati; Bacillota; Bacilli; Caryophanales; Bacillaceae.